RNAcentral lists this ribosomal RNA (253 nucleotides) under uncultured bacterium. Its description in RNAcentral is "partial 16S ribosomal RNA". It matches the Rfam family "Bacterial small subunit ribosomal RNA", at positions 524 to 776 of the family's 1533-position model. The record is from RNAcentral.
GACGGAGGGGGCAAGCGUUGUCCGGACUCACUGGGCGUAAAGGGUGCGUAGGCGGUUGUGUGCGUCGGCGCUGAAAUCACGAGGCUUAACUUCGUGGCGCGUGCCGAUACGACACGACUUGAGGCUCUGAGAGGGUGGCGGAACUCCUGGUGUAGUGGUGAAAUGCGUAGAUAUCAAGAGGAACACCUGCGGCGAAGGCGGGUUGCUGGGCCGACACUGACGCUGAGGCGCGAAAGCCAGGGGAGCGAACGGG